CUAAUGGACCCCCUCUCCAUCAAAGGAUAAAUACGGGCUGAAUGAGGUAUUGGUACUGGUCCACAUCUGGGUGUAUUUUCAUUGACGUGGAACAGCUGCACGCGUAGGCUGUCGGGACCCUGAGCCAUGUCGUCCCAACUGUCUCAUCCACGCCUCAGGAAGUCGCCUUCUGACUCUUCUUCUUCCUCUUCGUCAUCCCCCGCCAACGAGGGCCUGAGGCAUGAGCGACUAUCUAGACUGAAGUCGUCUGGCGAGUCGGACGCCUCCAACGACACGACGAAAAACCACGCCGAGUCGUAUUUCUCGCGGCGGGAGAACAGACUGUCAGCGAGGAAAAAGGCCGAAGAGGAGAUAGCACACAAUGAUUAUAAAAAGAUGUAUGAAAAAGCUCUGGCCACCAAUCAGAGGCUGAAGUCUAGGCUGGAAACCAGUAAGCAGGAAUUGGUUGUGAUAAAGGAGCAGCUGCAGAGAGCUCAGCAGAAGGAGAAAAAGAGAGAAUUGGGUUCCAACAUGCUUGAAACAGAGAAAAGGGAUAGUCGGAGUCUCAGGAAGAAAAUAUCUGACAUGGAAGAACAAGUGAAGGUAAAAGCAGAACUUCACACGGAAAACCAAAGACUGAAGGAUGAAAACGGAGCGCUGAUCCGCGUCAUCACCAAAUUAUCCAAGUGAUUUAAUCCAAGCUGAACAGAUGGCUGAGUACUGGAUCCCUGCUACCCGUUUUAUGUCUCAUGAUAACAACACAGACGCUUACCCCCCUGCAGCAGCUGGAUCUUCACAUAUGGGUCUGCGAAAGAACAAGUUAGCAAUCAUCAGUAUUGUACCUAAAUGAGUUAACAAAAUAAAAUUUUAUGAACUUGUUCGUAUUUUGGGCUAACAUGAACUGAUUGUAGUGUAUUUCUGCCUGAGGAACAUUCUUGAGCAUGCACUCAUUCUGACAUCUGUGAACGGUUUUUGAACGGCAGUUCAUUUUUGUUCCAUACAGUGCCAGUAUGAGUCAAGCCAUCACGUGUGACCUUAGCCAAUCAAGUCUGCAUUUCAGACGGUAAUCAUGAAUGCGCAUAGACUAAAGACGAACUCCAUCAAACCGCAGUCUUCCACAUGACUACUGUCCAAUACACUAACGAGGAUUGCUUUCCAGCUCCUUGACCUAGUGGGGAGCAGGCCUCACUGUUCCUGAACGCAUUCUGGUAAAUGCCAGCUAACCAGACGUUUUGCCGGUCCUGUCAGCAGCAGUUUCCUCAGUGUAGUGGUUAUCACAUUCGCCUAUCAUGCGAAAGGUCACCAGCUUGAGACUGGGUGGAAACAACUUAUUUAUUCGUCUCUUGCUUGCUUGUCAGCAGUGUUGUACUUGUUUUCCGGGCCUGUUAAAAGGUUGAAGAAACACAACAGUUUCCAUCGUGUAGCGGUUAUCACAUUCACCAUACACAUACACACACACACACACACACACACACACACACACAAUUGAAUUCAUUGUUUGAAGCCCUCACCCAGGCUUGAAACCCUAAUUUGAAACCCGAAGCCUGGCUUGAAAUCUUUGUUUGAAACCCCUAUUUGAAACCCCAACCUUCGUUUGAAAGCAUAACACAGGCUUGAAACCCUAGUAUGUACCUUAAUAUGAAACACUAACCUUGAUUUGAAGCCCUCACCCAGGCUUGAAACCCUAAUUUGAAACCCAAAGCCUGGCUUGAAAUCUUUGCUUGAAAGCAUAACACAGGCUUGAAACCCUAGUAUGUACCCUAAUAUGAAACACUAACCUUGAUUUGAAGCUCUAACCCUGCCUUGCAACCCUAAUUUUAAAACUAAGCCAGGCUUGAAACCCUAACACGAACCCUAAUAUGAAAUCCUAAACUUUAUUGCAGACCUAAUCCUGGUUUGAAACCCUAACUCAAACCCCUAAAAUUGUCUUGCAACCUUAAUUUCAGAAUGAGUGUUAAAACCCAAAGUGCUUUUCCAUACAAAUAUUUACUAGACUACAGCACAUUCCCACUUGCAUACAAAUUUGGAUUAUGUUGCCACCUUAGGGACAUGAACUCCUUGGUACAUCAAGGAGCCACUGCAUUGGUGUUUGUGAUAAUCGUCUCCCUACCGGAUAAUCCACAGGCAUCCAUCUUUUUCAGGUUCUUGGCCUCCAGUAUGCAGACAGUGAGUUUCCCGGCAGUGGGGACGUAACGCAGGGAGAUGCAGAUGUCCCCCAGUUUCUCAGGCUGAAACAGCACAGAUGCCAGAGUCGUCAGCUAUGAAUUUUAAACUUUAAUUAAGAAUAAUGAACCAAUGUUAGAAAUCAUGUCUUCAGUCAGUGCCAGGACCAGCUGUGCUGCUUCUCCGUCAACAGGUCAACUAACAAUUUUGAAAUCUCUCAUCCAGUGUGGUAGUGCCUCAGUGUAAAAAUUAUUUAAAUAAGACAUUGUCUUUAUAGAAAUAAUUGGGUUUCACAGUGUUAAAUAAAACACAUACACAAAGCAGAAUUGUUGAAAUUUCUGCAGAUUUAUUAAAAAAGAAAAACUGAAAUAUCACACAGCCAUAAGUAUUCAGAGCCUUUGCCUUUGCUCAGUAUUUAGUAGAAGCACGCAUUUGAGCUAAUACAGCUAUGAGUCAUUUUGUUUUUCACACCUGGAUUUGGGGAUCAUCUGCCAUUCCUCCUUGCUGAUCCUCUCCAGUUCUGUCAGGUUGGAUGGUGGACGUUGGUGGGCAGCCAUUUUCAGGUAUUUCCAGAGAUGCUCAAUUGGGUUUAAGUCAGGGAUCUGGCUGGGCAAUUCAACAACAGUCAUGGAGUUGUUCUGAAGCCACGCCUUUGCUAUUUUAGCUGUGUGCUUAGGGUCAUUGUCUUUUUUGAAGGUGAACCUUCGGCCCAGUUUGAGGUUCUGAGCACUCUGAAGAAGGUUUUCGUCCAGGAUAUCCCUGUACUUGGCCGCAUUCAUCGUUUCUUCGACUGCAACCAGUUUACCUGUCCCUGCAGCUGAAAAACACCCCCACAGCAUGUUGCUGCCACCACAAUGCUUCGUUGUUGGGACCGUAUUGUACAGGUGAUGAGCGGUGCCUGGUUUUCUCCACACAUGCUACUUAGAAUUAAGGCCAACAAUUUCUAUCUUAGUCUCAUCAGACCAGAGAAUCUUAUUUAUCCCCAUCUUGGAGUCCUUCAGGUGUUUUUUUUUUUUUUUUAGCAAACUCCAUGCAGGCUUUCAUGUGUCUUGCACUGAGGUGAGGCUUCCGUCGGGCCACUUUGCCAAAAAGCCCUGACUGGUGGAGAGCUGCAGUGAUGGUUGACUUUCUAGAACUUUCUCCCAUCUCCCGACUGCAUCUCUGGAGCUCAGCCACAGUGAUGUUUGGGUUCUUCUUUAACUCUCUCACCAAGGCUCUUCUCUCCCAAUUGCUCAGUUUGGCCAGACGGCCAGCUCUAGGAAGGGUUGUGAUCGUCCCAAACGUCUUCCAUUUCAGGAUUAUGGAAGCCACUGUGCUCUUAGGAACCUUAAAUGCAGCAGAUGUUUUUUUUUGUAACCUUGGCCAGAUCUGCUUGUUGCCAUAAUUCUGUCUCUGAGCUCUUCAGGUAGUUCCUUUGACCUCAUGAUUCUCAUUUGCUCUGACAUGCACUCUGAGCUGUAAGGUCUUACAUAGACAGGGGUGUGGCUUUCCUAAUCUAGUCCAAUCAGUAUAAUCAAACACAGCUGGACUCCAAUGAAGGUGUAGAAACAUCUUAAGGAUGAUCAGAAGAAAUGGAUAGCACCCGAGUUAAAUAUAUGAGUGUCACAGCAAAGGGUCUGAAUACUUAUG
Molecule: RNA transcript, 3771 nt
Organism: Phyllopteryx taeniolatus (common seadragon)
Lineage: Eukaryota; Metazoa; Chordata; Actinopteri; Syngnathiformes; Syngnathidae
Gene name: protein phosphatase 1 regulatory subunit 12B-like
Exons: 8
Source: RefSeq, a predicted model, not a curated record